This 291-nucleotide unclassified non-coding RNA is filed under the name uncultured fungus. RNAcentral's name for it is "partial contains 5.8S ribosomal RNA, internal transcribed spacer 2, and large subunit ribosomal RNA". The stretch from base 1 to 52 matches the Rfam family "5.8S ribosomal RNA", at positions 103 to 154 of the family's 154-position model. Lineage: Eukaryota; Fungi. The record is from RNAcentral.
AACGCACCUUGCGCUCCAUGGUAUUCCAUGGAGCAUGCCUGUUUGAGUGUCACGUGAAACUAUCACUCUUAUCCUGUCGCAAGACAAGUCAGGAUGUGGACUUGGACUGUGCCGUAGUUGGCUCGUCUUGAAAUGCAUUAGCCGUGCUGGUUAGAUUCGGCCACCUGGUGUGAUAUAUGUCUACGCCUACCGUGCUGUUUCUUCCUGAGUGUGGCUUAUAAUCGUCGCUUGUUCGACAAUACAAAUUAACGCUCUGGCCUCAAAUCAGGUAGGACUACCCGCUGAACUUAA